UGCUGAAAAUGUGCUAAAAAUUAAAUUACCUCACCUCACCUUACAAACACCACUUGGCUGGACCUCCGUUCAGUCAGGUCAGUCACUUUACAAGGGUUGAAUCUUUAUACAGUUACCUAUUUUAGGUUAAAUAGUUUUAUUCAAAUGUGAUUAUUUUUUAGAAAUCAGUUUUCACUUUGAUAUUUAAGGAUGUUUUUGACACCGUUUUUAUUUAGUCAAAAAAAAGUGUUAAUUGUCUCUGAUUUGUAAAAUAAAUAAACUGGGUAAAACAUCCAAGGGGCUGAAUAUUUUUAUAGGCAGUCACUUUAUAACACAAGACAUAAAAUCAUGUGCUCACUCAUACACAAGAACAACUUAGAGAGAAUAUUUAGCCUGACAGUCAUGUUUUUGAAACAUGCACAGGGAGAACGUGCAAACUCCAUGCAGAACGACCCCAGACUGGGACUUGAACCCAGAACCCAGAACCUACUAGUUGCGAGACAACAGUGCUGCCACUUCUACUAUGAUUACUAGAAGUAGUAGUAGAGGUAGUACUAUUGUUUGUAGUAGCUGUAGUUUUCAACCCUUGAAUGCAAACUUUGGUGUUUUUGACAAAAAGAAAUGUGAUUGUAACUGAUAUUUUUGAACAUAUUUCAUGACAUUGUUCUCUUUCAACAUUUUGUAGUUUCACUCUUUAAGUUGCUCCUUUUAUAUUCAUUUUGUCUGCCACAGUUAUAUGCCUGUUUGUACUUUGUCUCAUCUGUUGAGUGGCUCAUAAUCCACAUGCUCCCAAGGUAAAACAACACAAAAAUACCCACAUGAACUCCUCUGCCUCCCACCUCCCGCCCCAGCGAUCUUCACACGUCGUCAAGCGGUGUCACAGUCCCACCGAAGCUGCUGGCUCUCUCGAGCCCAAGCUGAUGAUCUCCUGACCUUCAGACACCCAGUGCCGGAUGAAUUAUUGAGAGCUGAGCCGUCAGUCACGGGUGUCGGGCCAGCUCCACGUGGAAUAGAGAAGGACGGCUAUCUGUGCACAAAUCUCGCUCAGAUGACAAUCGACACAACACCACCUGCUGAUUGGACACUUUGUUCAAGAGGAAACGGAGAAUCUGUACGCUCGCAAUGAGCUAAUAUUCGACUGAGGCUGCUCUGAAAUGAAUACACCUUAUCAGACAUGCAGAUUUGGGAAAUACUUACGGUGCUUUGCAAACCCGUACUUCUUGGGCAUGUUUGUGUUUUAUAUUACAAUCACAACUUCUGUUGUAUUUUUUCUGUGGUUGACCAAAUAUGAAAUGGAAGUAAAACAGCUUUCAGUUGUUUUUCUUUUUAAAUAAAACCUUCAAAGCGUG
Long non-coding RNA from Poecilia reticulata (guppy), 1328 nucleotides. RefSeq lists it as uncharacterized. NCBI's taxonomy places the organism in Eukaryota, Metazoa, Chordata, Actinopteri, Cyprinodontiformes, Poeciliidae. The record is from RefSeq and is a predicted model, not a curated record.